Small nuclear RNA from Rosa rugosa (rugosa rose), 107 nucleotides. The record is from RefSeq and is a predicted model, not a curated record. Lineage: Eukaryota; Viridiplantae; Streptophyta; Magnoliopsida; Rosales; Rosaceae.
GUUCUGUCCUUUCGGAACAUCCGGUAAAAUUGGAACGAUACAGAAAAAAUUAGCAUGAUCUAUGCGCAAGAAUGAUACACAUAAAUUCAGAAAUAGUCUAAAUUCAA